This 417-nucleotide ribosomal RNA is filed under the name uncultured bacterium. RNAcentral describes it as "bacterial SSU rRNA". It matches the Rfam family "Bacterial small subunit ribosomal RNA", at positions 28 to 410 of the family's 1533-position model. The record is from RNAcentral.
GACGAACGCUGGCGGCGUGCCUAAUACAUGCAAGUCGAACGCACUCUCGUUUAGAUUGAAGGAGCUUGCUCCUGAUUGAUAAACAUUUGAGUGAGUGGCGGACGGGUGAGUAACACGUGGGUAACCUGCCCUAAAGUGGGGGAUAACAUUUGGAAACAGAUGCUAAUACCGCAUAAAACCUAACACCGCAUGGUGUAGGGUUGAAAGAUGGUUUCGGCUAUCACUUUAGGAUGGACCCGCGGUGCAUUAGUUAGUUGGUGAGGUAAAGGCUCACCAAGACCGUGAUGCAUAGCCGACCUGAGAGGGUAAUCGGCCACACUGGGACUGAGACACGGCCCAGACUCCUACGGGAGGCAGCAGUAGGGAAUCUUCCACAAGUGGACGAAAGUCUGAUGGAGCAACGCCGCGUGAGUGAAG